AUGAACGCUGGCGGCGUGCCUAAUACAUGCAAGUCGAGCGAACAGACGAGGAGCUUGCUCCUCUGACGUUAGCGGCGGACGGGUGAGUAACACGUGGAUAACCUACCUAUAAGACUGGGAUAACUUCGGGAAACCGGAGCUAAUACCGGAUAAUAUAUUGAACCGCAUGGUUCAAUAGUGAAAGACGGUUUUGCUGUCACUUAUAGAUGGAUCCGCGCCGCAUUAGCUAGUUGGUAAGGUAACGGCUUACCAAGGCAACGAUGCGUAGCCGACCUGAGAGGGUGAUCGGACACACUGGAACUGAGACACGGUCCAGACUCCUACGGGAGGCAGCAGUAGGGAAUCUUCCGCAAUGGGCGAAAGCUUGACGGAGCAACGCCGCGUGAGUGAUGAAGGUCUUCGGAUCGUAAAACUCUGUUAUUAGGGAAGAACAAAUGUGUAAGUAACUAUGCACGUCUUGACGGUACCUAAUCAGAAAGCCACGGCUAACUACGUG
This 496-nucleotide ribosomal RNA is filed under the name uncultured bacterium. Its description in RNAcentral is "partial 16S ribosomal RNA". It matches the Rfam family "Bacterial small subunit ribosomal RNA", at positions 29 to 507 of the family's 1533-position model. The record is from RNAcentral.